UAUUUAGUUGAUUUUACUAGUAGUUAUAUAUUUAUUUUAAAAAUUAAGCUAUAUAUAUUUAAAUUUAAGUAAUUAAAUUGCGAAAUUGCGAAUAGUUUAUUAAAUUAAUUAUAGUUUAUUUAAUAGUAUUUUACUAUAUAGAUAACCGUAGUAAUUCUAGAGUUAAUAUAUAUUAAAAACCCCGACUUCGGAAGGGGUAUAUUUAUUAAAUUAAAAACUAAUGCCCUUCGGGGCUAAUUAGUAAUUUAUAAUAACUUUUCGAAUUAUAUAGCUUUAUACUAGCGAUAGUUUAUUUAAAUUUCUACCUUAUUAAUUUUUAACGGCUGGGUUUUGGCUAGCUAUAGUGAUAAUAGGUAAUAGAGGGUUAGGGUUCGACCUUAGAGAAGGAGUUUGAAAAACGGUUAUUAUAUUUAAAGAAGGUAAUAAGCGUGUAAAUUACUUAAUUCUAAUAUAGGGAGGUAGUAAUAAUAAAUAUUAAUAUAGGGCUCUUUUGGGUUUUAUAAUUAGAAUAAAUAUAAUUUAAAUCCCUUAAUGAAGAAUAAUUGGAGGGUAAGUUUAGUGCUAGUAGCUGUAGUAAUUCUAAUUCUAAUAGUAUAUAUUAAAGUUAUUGAAGUUAAAAAACUCGUAAUUAAACCUUAGGCUCGGCCCAUUGGUCCGCCUUACUAUAUAUACUAAUUAGGUCGGGCCUUUUUUUUUAGAGAACUGUAUGCCCUUUACUAGGUGUGUUAGGGAAUUAGGACUUUUACUAUAAAUAAAUUAAAUUAUUUAAAGAAGGUUUAUAUUUAAAUAUAUUAAUAUAGAAUAAUAGAAUAGGAUAUAUAGUUCUAUUUUAUUAGUUUCUAGGACUGCUAUAAUAAUUAAUAGGGAUAGUUAGGGGUAUUAGUAUUUAAUUAUUAGAGGUGAAAUUCUUGGAUUUAUUAAAGAUUAAUUAUUGUAAAAGUAUUUACUAAAAAUAUUUUUAUUAAUUAGGAAUAAAAGUUAAGGGAUCGAAGAUAAUUAAAUAUUAUUAUAAUUUUAAUUAUAAAUUAUACUAAUUAGGGAUUGGAUAGUAUUAUUUUUUAACCUAUUUAGCACUUUAUAAUAAAUUAAAAUAUUUAAGCUCUUAAGAGAGUAUAAUUGUAAGGUUGAAAUUUAAAGAAAUUAAUGGAAAGGUACUAUUAGGGGUGGAGCUUGCGGUUUAAUUUGACUCAAUACGGAGAAAUUUAUUAAGUCUAGAUACAAUGAGGAUUGAUAGAUUGAGAGCUCUUUUUUAAUUUUGUAGGUAGUAAUAUAUAACCGUUUUUAAUUAGUAGAGUAAUUUAUUUAUUUAAUUACAAUAACGAACGAGAUUUUAAUUUAUUAAAUAACUUAUAUUACUUUAGUAGUACGCUAGCUUUUUAGAGGGAUUAUUAAUUUAAACUAAUAGAAGUUUAAGGUAAUAAUAGGUUUAUAAUACCCUUAGAUAUUCUAGGCCGUAUAUACGCUAUAUUAAUAUAAUUAGCGAAUAUUCUUUUAGCUAGAAGGUCCGGGUAAUUUUAUUAAAUUGUAUUAUAUUGGGGAUAGAGUAUUAUAAUUAUUACUCUUCAAUAAGGAAUCCCUAAUAAGUAUAAGUUAUUAAUUUAUAUUAAUUAUAUUCUUACCCUUUAUAUAUACCGCCCAUCGCUACUACUAAUUAAAUAAUUUAAUAAAGCUUCCGGAUUAGUUUAGGGAGGUCGGUAACGAUUACUUAGGGCUAGAAAGCUAUUUAAAUUCGGUUAUUUAGAGGAAGUAAAAGUUAUAAUAAGGUCUCUAUUAGUAAAUUAGCGGAAGGAUUAUUA
Molecule: ribosomal RNA, 1796 nt
Organism: Neurospora crassa OR74A
Lineage: Eukaryota; Fungi; Ascomycota; Sordariomycetes; Sordariales; Sordariaceae
Rfam family: Eukaryotic small subunit ribosomal RNA
Source: Rfam